UACGUAGGGUGCGAGCGUUAAUCGGAAUUGCUGGGCGUAAAGCGUGCGCAGGCGGUGAUGUAAGACAGUUGUGAAAUCCCCGGGCUCAACCUGGGAACUGCAUUUGUGACUGCAAGGCUUGAGUGCGGCAGAGGGGGAUGGAAUUCCGCGUGUAGCAGUGAAAUGCGUAGAUAUGCGGAGGAACACCGAUGGCGAAGGCAAUCCCCUGGGCCUGCACUGACGCUCAUGCACGAAAGCGUGGGGAGCAAACAGG
This 253-nucleotide ribosomal RNA is filed under the name uncultured bacterium. Its description in RNAcentral is "partial 16S ribosomal RNA". It matches the Rfam family "Bacterial small subunit ribosomal RNA", at positions 524 to 776 of the family's 1533-position model. The record is from RNAcentral.